CUUGACUCUGGGAUAAGCCUGGGAAACUGGGUCUAAUACCGGAUAUGACUCCUCAUCGCAUGGUGGGGGGUGGAAAGCUUUUUGUGGUUUUGGAUGGACUCGCGGCCUAUCAGCUUGUUGGUGAGGUAAUGGCUCACCAAGGCGACGACGGGUAGCCGGCCUGAGAGGGUGACCGGCCACACUGGGACUGAGACACGGCCCAGACUCCUACGGGAGGCAGCAGUGGGGAAUAUUGCACAAUGGGCGAAAGCCUGAUGCAGCGACGCCGCGUGAGGGAUGACGGCCUUCGGGUUGUAAACCUCUUUCAGUAGGGAAGAAGGGAAAGUGACGGUACCUGCAGAAGAAGCGCCGGCUAACUAMGUGCCAGCAGCCGCGGUAAUACGUAGGGCGCAAGCGUUAUCCGGAAUUAUUGGGCGUAAAGAGCUCGUAGGCGGUUUGUCGCGUCUGCCGUGAAAGUCCGGGGCUCAACUCCGGAUCUGCGGUGGGUACGGGCAGACUAGAGUGAUGUAGGGGAGACUGGAAUUCCUGGUGUAGCGGUGAAAUGCGCAGAUAUCAGGAGGAACACCGAUGGCGAAGGCAGGUCUCUGGGCAUUAACUGACGCUGAGGAGCGAAAGCAUGGGGAGCGAACAGGAUUAGAUACCCUGGUAGUCCAUGCCGUAAACGUUGGGCACUAGGUG
This 678-nucleotide ribosomal RNA is filed under the name Arthrobacter sp. A23MTM1. RNAcentral's name for it is "bacterial SSU rRNA". It matches the Rfam family "Bacterial small subunit ribosomal RNA", at positions 131 to 822 of the family's 1533-position model. Lineage: Bacteria; Bacillati; Actinomycetota; Actinomycetes; Micrococcales; Micrococcaceae. The record is from RNAcentral.